CCUGUUCUCUAUUUAAAUUCUCAUUUUCCUUUGAAAUAUCCUCCAGGAUAUUAUCUGAAAUAGGAGAAGUACUUCAUCCUUUCUUAAGAAGAGUUCUCUGAUCAGGGAGAGCAGUUCUGCUUCAAAUUAACAUCUGCAUAGCCAAAAUAUGGUAGCAUGACUUUUGAAUAUGCUUGUACUUGGUUUUUGUUAGUUAGUGUCUUGUUUUUAUCUGGGAUGUGAAGAUCGGGACCAAAGUUUGUGAACUCCAGGAAACUUCUCCAAGGUGAGCCGAGGGAUGGAGCAGCUCUGCUGGGAGGAAAGGCUGGCACAGCUGGCAUUGCUCACCUGCACAGGAGAAGCUUUGGGCUGAGCUCCAGGACCUGAAGGAGCUGCAGGAAAGAUGGAGAGAGACUGUUCAAAAAGGAUGGAGUGAUGGGACGAGGGAGAAUGGCUUCAAACUGACGGAGAGUACAUUCAGGCUGUGCUGAUCCCAUGGAGUCCUCACCAUAAAAAGUUGCCCAGUGAUGCUCUGAAGAGUUAAUCAGCAAGUUCACACCACCUGGAAUGGAAAUUUCUAGAGAUGAAUAUUCUCCUUGCUCCAGGACUUGAGGGCUGACAAUAUUUGCACAGAGCUACAAACUCCAAGCUCAAGGAGAAGUAAAAGUUGUUCAUGCUGGCAAUGCUCAGCCUCACCUGGCAGGAAAAGGUGACCAUUCCAGGGGAGAAGAAACCAAAGACUGACAGCAAAUUUGCUGGUAGCUGCUUGAACCUUCAGUCCCUGUGAGAAUCAGAAAAGUUGAGGCUGAAAAGACCUUCAAGAGCCUCGAGUCCAAGCCAAGGGAUUGUGCCUUUUCAGUAAAUUAAAAAAGAAACAUCCAUCUCUGCUGCAGAGCAUCACCUGGCACGCCUGCUGAUUUAUUUAACUAAUUUUUCAUCCCAUAAUUCUUCCAAUCUGUGUUGAAACCACCUCAUCCUGCAUUUCUGUGCUGAAGGUUACCAAGCUGGCAGAGCUGCGUCCUUCUGAUGACAGAUCUCUCUGACGCUCUGUUUACCUGCCCUUCAUCUGCUCCAAGGCUAACUCAGGUGGGUUUUUUAUUCUCAUCCCCCAGGAAUUCAGGAAUGCCCCACCCAAGCAGGAGGAUUUGUUGAUGCUAAUCAAUCCUCUCCCUUAUGUGGUUUUAACUCCUGAGCUGGUGGUGCUGUCAGAACAGCUCUGAUUGAGUAAUUCAAUAAUUGGUCAUGGGAACCACCUCAGGCUGGUUCCAGUGGUCACCAGCACCUGCUCAGCCUCACUCUUUGCUGUCCCAACAACGGCUCUGGAUCCAUUCCCAGCCCCAGGGGGCACCAAAGGAGGGCAGAAACUUUCUCAGGUUAUUGGAAAAGCCACACAUUUCCCAAAGAGCGCUGUGCUGAAUUAAAGCUUGUCCAAACUCCUCACCCUGGUCAUAUUUCUUGCCCAUCACAGCGGAUGUGUCAGCUGUUGUUUCACCACCUGUUAAUCCGUCUGUGCUCGGGCUGUACAUGUGAUUUAUGAAGGUUCCUGUAUCUCACUUGUUGCCUGCAUGCGACCAGUGCAGAUAUUUUUUCACCAUUCUUGGUUUUUUUUCAUGCUACAUCCACCGAUUAGUCACAAUUUUAGGACAGAGAAAUACGGAAAUUUUUCUUUCCACAACAUUCAUUGAAGUUUUUCUACCUUUUUUAUCAUGAGUUGUAUUGACACAAGAGCUCGGGCAGAUAUU
Non-coding RNA from Zonotrichia albicollis (white-throated sparrow), 1721 nucleotides. Lineage: Eukaryota; Metazoa; Chordata; Aves; Passeriformes; Passerellidae. The record is from RefSeq and is a predicted model, not a curated record.